AUAUAUAUAAAUUUAUCACUUAAAAUGAGAACCACAUUUUUUUAUGGAGUAUAUUUUAUUUGGUUUGAAGGAUAAUAUAUUAUCCACUCGUUAUAAGGUGGUAUAAAAUUAUACCACUCUCUUAUGUAUAAAAUUAUCUCUUUCCCAAAAGAUAAGGAACUGUCUGAAAAAUUAUACGACAUGUCCAAAUUUUUUCAUACAUCAAAGCAAACGAGGUAUAAAGUGAUUAAUGUAACUUAUCCCUUCCUUAUAACUCAAAACAAACACACCCUUUAAUUAUGAGUAGGUUCCCCAUUGGCCCAAUUACUAGAAUUAUGAGUAGGUUCCCCAUUGGCCCAAUUACUAGCUUCUUCAUUCAACGGCACCGCCGCCAUCCACCGUUACUAUCGUCUCUUUCAAGGUCCAGACGAUAUCAAAUACAAGGAAAAAUCAUCAUUAUCACUUGUAUAUUUUUGUCUUGUUUUUCACAAUUAAUACACUGCCCCACUUUUUUGUUUAUUGUAUUACUAAUGUGCUCAUUUCAUCAGCUCUCAACAAUCCGAAUGAUUUGCAUAAUAUAUAUGAUCAAACAAGCUCAAUAUUGCUCAAUCUAUUAGAGAAUGUGGUGGAUUAGCCUACUUCACUUUUAUAUAUGAUCUAUCUAAUGUAUCACCAUAAGUAAACACCCAUUUAAAGGCUUAAUAAGGGAAAAUUUUCUCCUAAAAUCUAUAUAUAUAUAUAUAUGCUUGCUGCUUGACACUAUGUACGUAUAAACUCUUGACAAUUUUGGAUGGAAUGCUCACUCUAAUCUGCAGGAGAAUUAUAUAUUGUUGCAUUGUCGAUGAAUAAUUUUUGGUAGGAUACAUAUACCCAUAUAUGUUACACCUUUAAUCUUAAUUAUAAUGGUUAAGGCCACUAUGCAUAACAAAUUGUACAUGUAUAUAUACAGCACUUAAUUAUUUAACAUGGAAAAUGUUAGUAAUUGUUUUUCUCCUGGCCUUGAGUCGUUGUUUGUUUUUGUUGAUAUAUAUAUUUUGGCAGAUUUAUAUGUUGUAAGCAAUGCUGGCGCAUAUUAGCUGCAUUGGGCUCUCUUAGCAUUACUUCUUUUUGGAGUGAAAAGGUUCCAAAUUUAGAAGGGAUUUCCUAAUUCGUAUGAGAAGCUUACUUUUCUGGUAUGAUUGCAGGAUAUAUAGGUAUCAUGGUUUGUCUGGUUUUUAUGUAGAUGAAGCACACAAGGGAUUUACAAGUUCUAAAGUAGCAUUCAUAAUGAGAUCUAUAUAUAUUAAUGGUAAACCAAUGCUUCUGAUUUGCAAAAUGCGUUUGAAUUUUGAUGUUUGUGACAAAGUUGUCUUGUUGCUUCUUAUCUUUUAUAUGAUCUCUUUCUCAAAUCCUUCAUUAACUAGAUAUGAUGAUUUUCUUAGUAUCUCAACUUAUAGAAAGAUCUAUAAGUUGUAUAACUGUAAUGUACAUAGUCAAUAUUGUACCCACAAACAUGGUUGACUGUUUGGUGAAUGUUGUACUCCCUUCGUCCACGAUAUAUAUCGUUUUCACUUUUGAUAUUUUGGUCCGUCCACAAUAUCAUUUUCACUUUUAUUUAUAAUAGUAGGGUCUACAAACUACACUCACAAUAGUAGUGAGACCCAAACUCCGCUCACAAAUAUACGCCACUUUCUUAAAACGCAUGCCGUCCACAAAAUGGAAACGAUAUCAUGGACGGAGGGACUAGUACUUUUCAACACAUUUGUGGUUUGUAUAUAUUAUCAAUCUAUCCUGUCUUUGGGAGGUACUGCUACUGUAACUGCUAAAUAUAUAAGUGAAUAAUGAGCAUUAGGCACUGGUAUUUGAUUCAAACUCUUUUAAUCGGCAGAAAUUGUAUUACAAUAAACGUUGUUUCUUGUGAGAACUACUAAAAUUGUGGAGUUUGCUUCUGGUUUUCUUUUUAAGAUAAUAUGCAUUGUAUUACCACAUGUACUUUUUGACUUCAUGGGAGAAAUUCCUAUUUCUUAUCUUGGAAUCUCAAUUCAAAUAUCUAAAGACAUGUUACUGACCUUCCACACAGAUGCUAUAUUACCAGGUUUGCAUUUGAAAGUAUAUGCUCCUAUUUUUCGAAAGUGCAAAUAGGCAAAAUUGCCCACUUUGUUAAGUGUAAAAUUAAAAAUGCCCAUUUCUUAUAAAAAUUUGAUCCUAUGCCCAAAUUAAAGUGAAGAGUGGAUGCCUUUAGAUGUUGAUGGCUUUGCAUCAUUUUUUGUAUAAAGUCUUACACUUUUCUGACACAAGUACAAAUAUGUAAGAAAAAGUAGUCUACUGUCGAAAAAGUAGGUUGCCACACGAGGUUGCCGUUCGGGCGGGAAGCUAUUUCCCGACAAUUGACUUUUUUUAUCUUGCAAAUAUAUUGAUUGUGACAUGAAGAGUAAUUUAUGUAUUUUGGGCAUAGAAUCAAGUUCUUAUAAGAACUAUAAGAAGUGGGCAAUUUUAAUUUUAAACUUAGCAAGUGGGAAAUUUUAAUUUUCUCUCGAAUGGAAAUCUGAGGCCUCACUUUGCUAGCACUCUUGUGCCAUUUCACAUGCAUAUAUAAAUCAUUUUUUUUCUAUUUGAAGAUCCAAUGCAGGGCUUAACUGAGUCUCAAUUAUUGUGUGAACAUAACUGUAACAUUCUUGAUGAAUUUGGUUCCUAAAUGGAAGUCUAGAUGCCCCCUUUUUUUACCUGCCUCAGUUGGGCCAACAUAGAAACCCCUUAAUUAAUUUUCAUUUUCUCCAGCUUCCACCUUUCCUCAGAUGAGACUCAAAUUUUGGGCAGCAGCCCUAUUUAAUUUAAUCUCACACGUUACGUCGAGAGUAGAUAUUCUAGCAUCAUGUUAAAAAUAAUGUUAGCAGAAAUGUUGGUAAUAAAAUGUUAAUAAUAUCCAAGCUAAAAUGCAUCGGAAAUUAAACAAUACACAUGAUACUUCUUCAUGGAUUAUAUAAAUACAACCAGUGAGUUCUUCAUGGCCAAAUUCAUUAUGUUUACCAACAUUACAAGGUACUGUAGAAGAUCUCUUGAUGAUCAACCUUCACAAUUUGAUUGUCUAAUUAAGAUUAAAACACAUAUCUAUUAAUUGUACCUAGAAUGUUAAUUCAACAUAAAAUUAUCAAUUAAUUAAACUAAGGUUAAAUGAUCAAAUAAAUAGGUUGCUACACUCCAAUGUCAUCGAUCUUUAAUCAUUGUCCUUGACCUCCCUCGUCAAUAUAGAGUAAUUAAGCCUUUACAGAUUGACUGUUUAAAACUCCUCCAACAAAGCAAGACUCGAAAAACUGGUGUCAUAUUUUCACCACUUCUAAUACUAAAUUGUAACACAUUUUUACUACUUUAAUUAAUAGUAAUUAUAAUAUUUUUUAACCACUUCCAAUACACUCG
This 3372-nucleotide long non-coding RNA is filed under the name Salvia miltiorrhiza (redroot sage). RNAcentral's name for it is "long non-coding RNA (SMIL_LNC005579)". Lineage: Eukaryota; Viridiplantae; Streptophyta; Magnoliopsida; Lamiales; Lamiaceae. The record is from RNAcentral.